This 470-nucleotide ribosomal RNA is filed under the name fungal sp. VKM FW-2457. RNAcentral describes it as "eukaryotic LSU rRNA". The stretch from base 150 to 303 matches the Rfam family "5.8S ribosomal RNA". The record is from RNAcentral. Lineage: Eukaryota; Fungi.
GGGAGGCGGCUAACACCCACCCGUGUCUACAUACUCUUGUUGCUUUGGCGGGCCGUGGCCUCCACUGCGGGCUCUGCUCUGCUCGUGUGUGCCCGCCAGAGGACCAAACUCUGAAUGUUAGUGAUGUCUGAGUACUAUUUAAUAGUUAAAACUUUCAACAACGGAUCUCUUGGUUCUGGCAUCGAUGAAGAACGCAGCGAAAUGCGAUAAGUAAUGUGAAUUGCAGAAUUCAGUGAAUCAUCGAAUCUUUGAACGCACAUUGCGCCCUGUGGUAUUCCGCAGGGCAUGCCUGUUCGAGCGUCAUUUAACCACUCACGCCUGGCGUGGUGUUGGGGCACGCGGUCUCGCGGCCCUCGAAAGCAGUGGCGGCGCCGGUGGGCUCUAAGCGUAGUACAUACUCCCGCUAUAGAGUUCCCUCGGUGGCUCGCCAGAACCCCCUAAUUUUUACCGGUUGACCUCGGAUCAGGUAG